AAUAGAUACCCUGGUAGUCCACGCCGUAAACGGUGGGCACUAGGUGUGGGCAACAUUCCACGUUGUCCGUGCCGCAGCUAACGCAUUAAGUGCCCCGCCUGGGGAGUACGGCCGCAAGGCUAAAACUCAAAGGAAUUGACGGGGGCCCGCACAAGCGGCGGAGCAUGUGGCUUAAUUCGACGCAACGCGAAGAACCUUACCAAGGCUUGACAUACACCGGAAACGUCCAGAGAUGGGCGCCCCCUUGUGGUCGGUGUACAGGUGGUGCAUGGCUGUCGUCAGCUUGUGUCGUGAGAUGUUGGGUUAAGUCCCGCAACGAGCGCAACCCUUGUCCCGUGUUGCCAGCAGGCCCUUGUGGUGCUGGGGACUCACGGGAGACCGCCGGGGUCAACUCGGAGGAAGGUGGGGACGACGUCAAGUCAUCAUGCCCCUUAUGUCUUGGGCUGCACACGUGCUACAAUGGCCGGUACAAUGAGCUGCGAUACCGCGAGGUGGAGCGAAUCUCAAAAAGCCGGUCUCAGUUCGGAUUGGGGUCUG
Molecule: ribosomal RNA, 537 nt
Filed under: uncultured bacterium
Lineage: Bacteria
Description: bacterial SSU rRNA
Rfam family: Bacterial small subunit ribosomal RNA
Source: RNAcentral